Molecule: ribosomal RNA, 490 nt
Filed under: uncultured bacterium
Lineage: Bacteria
Description: partial 16S ribosomal RNA
Rfam family: Bacterial small subunit ribosomal RNA
Source: RNAcentral
AUUGAACGCUGGCGGCAGGCCUAACACAUGCAAGUCGAACGGUAACAGGAAGAAGCUUGCUUCUUUGCUGAGGGGAGGCGGACGGAUGGGUAAUGACCGGGCAACUGCGUGAUGGAGGGGGCGGAGAACUGGGGACGGUUACUAAUACCGCAUAACGUGGCAAGACGAAGGAGGGGAACCUCUGGGGCUCUUGCCAUCGGCUGUGCCCAGAUGGGAUUAGCUAGUAGGUGGGGUAACGGCUUACCUAGGCGACGAUCCGUAGCUGGUCUGAGAGGAUGACCAGCCACACUGGGACUGAGACACGGUCCAGACUCCUACGGGAGGCAGCAGUGGGGAAUUUUGGACAAUGGGGGCAACCCUGAUGCAGCCAUGCCGCGUGUAUGAAGAAGGCCUUCGGGUUGUAAAGUGCUUUCGGCGGGGAGGAAGGGAGUAAAGUUAAUACCUCGGCUCAUUGACGUUACCCGCAGAAGAAGCACCGGCUAACUCCGUG